UUAGUGCUAAGUUUUAAACCUCGAUUCUCGGGAUGCGAGCCAUAGGUCGGAACACUAUUAACGACCCUCCAGAAAAUGUGAAAAAAUUUGGAACACAAAUCAAACACUCGAACCUUGAAAUUUACAAAGGUCCAGCGUAUUACACGGGGCGUGACAGAUAGAGUGGUAUUAGAGAAUGAAAAGUGAAAGUAUAGGAUGGACCUAUGAAACCUUAGGAUGGAAACCUCGUUUGGUUCAGAGAUAAACAAAAAGUGACUAUUCCAGGGAUAGGUAUAAAUUGAGGUAUAAGCGAGAAUUAGAUCAAUUUUGCAUUUGGAUAAAAAUUGGGUUAUUCCUGGGAAUAAAAAAAAUAGCGUUUGGUUAGCUAAGAUGGAAUAAGAAUGAUAGUGAGUUUUAUAAAUAAAAAGAAUGAUAUUAUCCUCUUAUUAUAUUUGAAUUUAAAUUUUUAAAUUUUUAAAUUUAUAUUUUUAAAUUUAAAAUUUUAACUUUGAAAUUUUAAAAUUUGAAAUUUAAAAUCUCAAAUUUAAAAUUCAAAAUUUUAAAUUUUAAAUUUCAAACUUUAAAUUUAAGAUCAAAUUUAAAUUUGAAAAAUAUAAAAUAUCAAAUUUUAAAUUUCAAAUUAAAAUAUCAAAAUUUAAAUUUAAAUUUUUAAAUUAUAAACUUUAAUUUUGAGAUUAUAAAUUAUAAAUUUUAAAAAUUUAAAUUUUUAAUUUUUAAAAUUUUAAAAUAAGAAUAAGGGUGGGAACAAUUAAUAAAAAUAAUUUAUUAUAAUAAAUUUAUAAAUUUUUUUAAAAUUAUACUUCAACUUAAAUUUAAUAAAAAAAAUUUAUUAUAAUAUUUAAAUAUAAUUUAUUAUAAAUUUUAUUAUAAUAUUUAAAUAUAAAUAAUAUGUAUUAAUAUUGUACAAUUAAUAAUUUUAUAAUAAAAAUAAUGUAUUAUAAUAUAUCAUAUAUUAUAUUUAUAUAAUUUAGUUUUAAUUCAAUUUAUAAUUUUAAUUAAGUUUGAAAUUAAGAAUUGGAAUAGCACUAUUCCACCAAAAUGGCGGAAUAGCAAAUCCCUUGCUAUUCCGGAAUAACCGGGAAUAGCAAGGUUUGACCGAGAUAAAAUAUUCCGGCCAAAUUUCACCCCGUUUGGCGGAAUAGCGGGAUAACUUUCGUUAUCCCCGCUUAUCCCCCUAACCAAACAGGGCCUAAGGACUUAGGGACGUGAGUGACGUGGAUUUGAAUUAUAGCGAAAGCUAAAUGGAUUGGGUUAGUUGAUAGUGUAAGGAAAUGUAUGCAACGGAAAUAAAUUUUAUUUAUAAAAUAUAAUCCAAUCAUGUAUACUUUAAUAUCGUAACAUUUAUGAUAUUAAUAUAUAUAUGUACCAAGAUCAUCUCGUGUGACACAAAAAAAUUAUUAUUCUAAUCUAAUUAGAAGAAAUGUUCGAAUUUCAACCUGUGUUGAUUACUGAAAUUAUUUUACGGUUGAUAUUAGAUCUGAACUUUUGGUUCUUUGAGCCACACAAGUGUUCGGCCUCUAUAUGUAUCCACACAAGGCUGCUCCAGGAUCUGUGCUUCACACAAUCAUAGUGUAAUCUUGAAACUCCUUUUGUGGUCUAUUGUGUCAAUGUGGGGAAAAAUUAAUCCUCAAAAUUGUGCUACCAAUUUGAAGAGGAUUAACUAUAGAGACCAAUUAAUAUAGGAGGACCUCUCUCUUAUGAUUAAAAGAGAGCUUUAUAUGAUUGGAAGAAUUUUCUCUCUCUCUCGCACUUCACUUUACUUGUUGUGAUAAUUAUCAUCAUUGAGAGAUGCCUCAAUUUAU
RNAcentral lists this long non-coding RNA (1802 nucleotides) under Ananas comosus (pineapple). RNAcentral's name for it is "long non-coding RNA (ACOM_LNC031491)". The record is from RNAcentral. Lineage: Eukaryota; Viridiplantae; Streptophyta; Magnoliopsida; Poales; Bromeliaceae.